UCCUAUUUACCUGUACGCAACGCAUAUACAUGAUCUUUGGGAAAGGGCAGGCAGCGGGCACCUACCAUGCAUAUGGGCAGAUGCACUCUAGACUUUCCUAUAAACCAGGUUCGUGUGAGUUCCUGCGUCACAGACCCCAAGUUCGGUUAUGUGCUACUCAAACUAGUUCAUCCAUUUAAUAUUCUGAGUAGUCAUCAAUCCAGCGCAAACUCCAAACGAUCCUACUGAUGAACAUAGUCAGAUCCAAUGGUGGCGAUUCUUUUUUAUUUCAUUUUUCAUCGGUGCUAUUUCCUCCUUUUCGUACUUACUUUCCAUUUGUAGCAUCUCUGGUCGCUUUUCUUUAAAUUAAUUCUACUUCCAAACUACAUGUUAGAUGGCCACGGUACUUUUAUUCUGUUUUAAAAAUGAUGGCCUCGGCACCCUUUUGACCAAACAAACUGACCACGCGAUUUGAACCACAUCUCAUCUCUCUGCUGUGCGCGGCAGAGGCUGUAAAAUGUAUUCCAAAGUAACAUGGGAGUAUCGUCAUGUACCGUCAAGAAAAAAGUAUGGGAGAAUCCUAUUUACCUGUACGCAACGCAUAUACAUGAUCUUUGGGAAAGGGCAGGCAGCGGGCACCUACCAUGCAUAUCGGCAGAUGCACUCUAGACUUUUCUAUAAACCAGGUUCGUGUGAGUUCCUGCGUCACAGACCCCAAGUUCGGUUAUGUGCUACUCAAACUAGUUCAUCCAUUUAAUAUUCUGAGUAGUCAUCAAUCCAGCGCAAACUCCAAACGAUCCUACUGAUGAACAUAGUCAGAUCCAAUGGUGGCGAUUCUUUUUUAUUUCAUUUUUCAUCGGUGCUAUUUCCUCCUUUUCGUACUUACUUUCCAUUUGUAGCAUCUCUGGUCGCUUUUCUUUAAAUUAAUUCUACUUCCAAACUACAUGUUAGAUGGCCACGGUACUUUUAUUCUGUUUUAAAAAUGAUGGCCUCGGCACCCUUUUGACCAAACAAACUGACCACGCGAUUUGAACCACAUCUCAUCUCUCUGCUGUGCGCGGCAGAGGCUGUAAAAUGUAUUCCAAAGUAACAUGGGAGUAUCGUCAUGUACCGUCAAGAAAAAAGUAUGGGAGAAUCCUAUUUACCUGUACGCAACGCAUAUACAUGAUCUUUGGGAAAGGGCAGGCAGCGGGCACCUACCAUGCAUAUGGGCAGAUGCACUCUAGACUUUCCUAUAAACCAGGUUCGUGUGAGUUCCUGCGUCACAGACCCCAAGUUCGGUUAUGUGCUACUCAAACUAGUUCAUCCAUUUAAUAUUCUGAGUAGUCAUCAAUCCAGCGCAAACUCCAAACGAUCCUACUGAUGAACAUAGUCAGAUCCAAUGGUGGCACAAAAUGAGGCCUCUACGGCUCCCCUGGUUCCGAAUCAAACUACAUUUUUACAUGCCUACUACGCACAAUCCCUUAAUUCCUUCCUUCCCACUGGCUGUACACAACACACGGCGAAGCAGCCUCCACAAGUUCACAGGCUUCUUGCGGCAGCAGAGGAGAUGUAGUUGGCGGCCUCGUUGGCGUCCAGCUGCUUCCCUUCCACGAGUCCCUUGAUCAGAGUGGCGGAGUAGGUCUCAGAUGGAGGAGCUAAUGGCAGCUCGCCAGAUUUGUGCUGCGCAACAGCUGUUGAGGGGCAU
This 1666-nucleotide long non-coding RNA is filed under the name Triticum aestivum (bread wheat). Its description in RNAcentral is "long non-coding RNA (TAES_LNC022149)". Lineage: Eukaryota; Viridiplantae; Streptophyta; Magnoliopsida; Poales; Poaceae. The record is from RNAcentral.